Long non-coding RNA from Limanda limanda (common dab), 445 nucleotides. RefSeq lists it as uncharacterized. The record is from RefSeq and is a predicted model, not a curated record. NCBI's taxonomy places the organism in Eukaryota, Metazoa, Chordata, Actinopteri, Pleuronectiformes, Pleuronectidae. The transcript is spliced from 3 exons.
CCCCCCCCCCCCCCCCACACACACACACACACAAACAAAGAGGCGUUAGGCUGAGACGCUGAAAGUCCGGAUUUAAAGUGCAGAAAAUGAAGCCAUUGAAUCUGCCUGUCCAUGACGUACAAAGACACACUAUGAGCCAGUAUGAUCCGACCAGACCUUACAUCAGCAUUGAGGAGUUGUCGGAGAAGAAAGAGGCUGAUUGAAGCGGGACAGAUGACAUGGAUCCAUCCUUCCACAGCCAGGAGUGCACCGACCUGUGUCCCACACUUCAUAUAAGACUGGAAGCUACACUGAUCUCACAGCUACACACCACAGACGUCUACACACUGGAGAAGAGUCCCACAAAGAAGUCAUGACCCAGAGGCUGCAGAGAAACAUUUCAAGCCUCAUCUGAGUUUUUGUACAAUAUUUUUGCUGUAUGUAAAUAAAGCUUUCACUCCACAUA